CAAGUCGAACGGCAGCGCGGGGGCUUCGGUCUCUGGCGGCGAGUGGCGGACGGGUGAGUAAUAUAUGGGAACGCGCCCGGCGGCGGGGGAUAACUCUGGGAAACCAGAGCUAAUACCGCAUGCGUUUCGCCUUUCGGGGCGAAAGAAAGCGGGGGACUUCUUCGGAGGCCUCGCACCGGCGGAGCGGCCCAUAUCCGAUUAGCUUGUUGGCGGGGUAACAGCCCACCAAGGCCGCGAUCGGUAGCUGGUCUGAGAGGACGGACAGCCACACCGGGACUGAGACACGGCCCGGACUCCUACGGGAGGCAGCAGUGGGGAAUAUUGGACAAUGGGGGCAACCCUGAUCCAGCAAUGCCGCGUGUGUGAAGAAGGCCUUCGGGUUGUAAAGCACUUUCGCGGGGGAAGAAAAAGCGAGGGGUAAUAUCUCUCGCGCCUGACGGUACCCCGAGAAGAAGCACCGGCUAACUACGUGCCAGCAGCCGCGGUAAUACGUAGGGUGUGAGCGUUAAUCGGAAUUACUGGGCGUAAAGCGUGCGCAGGCGGCCUGUCAAGUCGGGUGUGAAAUCCCCGGGCUCAACCCGGGAAUUGCGCUUGAAACCGGCGGGCUAGAGUACGGCAGAGGAAGGUGGAAUUCCGUGUGUAGCGGUGAAAUGCGUAGAUAUACGGAAGAACACUCAUGGCGAAGGCAUCCUUCUG
This 696-nucleotide ribosomal RNA is filed under the name uncultured bacterium. RNAcentral's name for it is "bacterial SSU rRNA". It matches the Rfam family "Bacterial small subunit ribosomal RNA", at positions 58 to 731 of the family's 1533-position model. The record is from RNAcentral.